CGAGUCGACUAUGCUUCGAUCGCUCACCCCCAGUCGAAUGGGCAAGCAGAAAGGGAGAACGGCCUGAUUCUCAAAGGACUGAAACCCCGAUUGAUGCAUGAUCUCAAGCACGCAGCAGGUGCAUGGGUCGACGAGCUUCCAUCAGUCCUUUGGGGAUUAAGAACAACCCCGAAUCGAUCGACCGGAAGAACCCCAUUCUUUCUAGUCUACGGAGCCGAGGCAGUCUUACCGAGUGACCUGCUUCACAAUGCUCCCCGAGUCGAGCUCUACUCUGAAGAUGAAGCAGAACAAGCCCGGCAGGAUGUAGUCGACCUCCUAGAAGAAGAAAGAGAAAUG
RNAcentral lists this ribosomal RNA (336 nucleotides) under Triticum aestivum (bread wheat). RNAcentral describes it as "partial small subunit ribosomal RNA". Lineage: Eukaryota; Viridiplantae; Streptophyta; Magnoliopsida; Poales; Poaceae. The record is from RNAcentral.